AUGCUUGCGUUGGCAGCACAUAUACUAAAACUGGAAUAAUACAGAGAAGAUUAGCACAGCCCCUAUGCAAAGAUGACACACAAAUUCAUGAAGGUUUCCAUAUUUUU
This 107-nucleotide small nuclear RNA is filed under the name Dasypus novemcinctus (nine-banded armadillo). The record is from RNAcentral. Lineage: Eukaryota; Metazoa; Chordata; Mammalia; Cingulata; Dasypodidae.